UUACGGUCAAAUCACGCUGAAAACACCGGUUCUCGUUCGAUCACCGAAUCACCGAAGUUAAGCAUCGUAGAGCCAGGUCAGUUUAGAUGGGGGACCGCUUGGGAACACCUGGUACUGUAAG
Molecule: non-coding RNA, 121 nt
Organism: Acanthosepion pharaonis
Lineage: Eukaryota; Metazoa; Mollusca; Cephalopoda; Sepiida; Sepiidae
Source: the annotation of a GenBank genome assembly